RNAcentral lists this unclassified non-coding RNA (614 nucleotides) under Hevea brasiliensis (rubber tree). Lineage: Eukaryota; Viridiplantae; Streptophyta; Magnoliopsida; Malpighiales; Euphorbiaceae. The record is from RNAcentral.
GCAGCCUUGAAUUGCAAGGUGGGACCCACAUCAAAGGAGCCUUUGAUAAGAGCAUUUUGGUCAGCAAGAUCAUAGUGAAUAGAUAGGAGUUUCGAAGUGAAGGCAAUAUGGGGCUCAGACACCUCUCCUUUAUUAUUGUUCCGGAAAGAGACCUUGAGUUUAGCCAAGCUAUCAAAUAACUUACAUGACACCUUAUGGAGAAAUAAGGAGCUAUCACUGUCAAACUCAGAGGUCACCCUAACAGAGGGUCUCUUGAAGAAAAUGGGACCUGAAGUCGGUGGUGGAGGAGGUGGCGGAGGAGUUGGCGGUGGCGGAGAUUGGAGAGAGCGUAAUAAUGGGUGAGGUGGAUCUGCAGAUGGGAUGGGUGGGACCAUGUGAUUAGGAUGAGGUGGAAGAGAUACUGUUGGGGGUGAUUCAGCCAUUGAUUGUUGUUGGUGGGUUAUCUGUGAGAUGAUCUCUCUUCUCUUUUCUCUUAUGUGUGUGAGAGUGUAUUUGAAAGACAGAGAGCGGAUUUAGACGGUGGUGAAUUCGUGGGCUUAAGGCGGAAAUUUAGAUGGAGGACUUCGUAGAUAGCUUUGGAUUUUUGUUUGAGUUCACCGAAUUUUCGAACUUGG